GAGCUCGGAGAACAGGACGGCGGGUCGGCUGCGACGCUGGUCAGACGAAGGCGGUGAUCCUCAAGACGGAGAGACAACGGAGCUUGAGGCGCAGUGAAUCGUGCACGGCGGAGCUCGAGGCGCGGUGAAAUGAGGACGGCGGAGUUCCAGCCGCAGUUAAUCGCGGACGGCAGGAGAUUGAAGAAUUGUGAAUGGUGGACGCUGUGUGAGUCUUGAGUGUGUGGGAGAAGAAGAAUACAAAAGUGAUGAGUGAUGAGAGUAGAUAAUGUGAGUGGUGAAUGAGAAAGUGAUUUAGGGUUUGGUCGAGCUCAUGUUUGCACUUUGCAACAUGGAGAGCAGGAGAGGGAAGUCUUCUGUUGAAUGCUGGGUCGGGUUUGCGUUUGGAUAUCCAGCUUUCUUGGAUCUAGGCUAGGUUGUGGGCCGGGUCGUGACAGAAAAAUGUAACGAAGGGAUGAUUUAUGAGAAAUUUUUCUUUGGUGGAAGAUAUCCAAGCAAAUGAGGCAAAUGUCAUUUUCCAUAAUGCAAUUUCAUUAGAUGAUAAAUGAAGAUUACCAUCAUCGUCGUGGUGUGCAUGUCGCCUCCAUAAACGUCAUUGUCAAUCGAAUCCGCUUUUGUUGCUAUCUUCCUAUGCAAACAACAUCAAGUGUAGUUAAAAGUUGAAACACAAAAAAGUAGAGGAACUAAAAAAUAACUAAGAUCCGAGAUAUCGCAAGUGAACUAGCGAAUUUGUUAAAGGGCUUAAACUUUUUGAAGGGUUAGGCUUUAUCACCUCCAAAUAUGGAAUCAAAAUUGGAAGAGCUUCAUUACAUGUAUUUCAUUGGAUUUAAUGGGUGCAUUAAGAAUUCAAACGAAGGGUAAGUGUAUCGCGUUCGUGUUCUUCGGCCCUGCGUUCUUGAUUCCGAGAUAUGCCACCAUGUUGAAGAAGCGCUUGUGCAGCUUAGGGGAAAAUGCAAGAGAGGAAAAAAAAUAAAGUUUGAGGAUAAUGGAAAGAAAU
Molecule: long non-coding RNA, 994 nt
Filed under: Arachis ipaensis
Lineage: Eukaryota; Viridiplantae; Streptophyta; Magnoliopsida; Fabales; Fabaceae
Description: long non-coding RNA (AIPA_LNC002410)
Source: RNAcentral